This 73-nucleotide transfer RNA is filed under the name Ilumatobacter sp. RNAcentral describes it as "tRNA-Thr". It matches the Rfam family "tRNA". Rfam says of the family: Transfer RNA (tRNA) molecules are approximately 80 nucleotides in length. The record is from RNAcentral. RNAcentral also lists the same sequence under 2 other names. Lineage: Bacteria; Bacillati; Actinomycetota; Acidimicrobiia; Acidimicrobiales; Ilumatobacteraceae.
GCCCUCUUAGCUCAGACGGCAGAGCAACGCCAUGGUAAGGCGUAGGUCGUCGGUUCGAUUCCGACAGAGGGCU